Molecule: non-coding RNA, 20 nt
Filed under: Rattus norvegicus (Norway rat)
Lineage: Eukaryota; Metazoa; Chordata; Mammalia; Rodentia; Muridae
Source: RNAcentral
UAAGUUGUGUAGCUGCCUUC